GCAGACACAUUCCAGCCAAUCAGCAGCAGACCCUCCCUCCCAGACCCUCCCACCUCCUGGACAGCACAUUUCACAUUCAUUGUGAAGCUGCAUUCUUAGUGAGCUGUCCAGGAGGUGGGAGGGUCUGGGAGGGAGGGUCUGCUGCUGAUUGGCUGGAAUGUGUCUG
Non-coding RNA from Pelobates cultripes (western spadefoot toad), 166 nucleotides. Lineage: Eukaryota; Metazoa; Chordata; Amphibia; Anura; Pelobatidae. The record is from the annotation of a GenBank genome assembly.